This 241-nucleotide non-coding RNA is filed under the name Caldimonas brevitalea. Lineage: Bacteria; Pseudomonadati; Pseudomonadota; Betaproteobacteria; Burkholderiales; Sphaerotilaceae. The record is from RNAcentral.
UCAUACAAUCUGCCCGUUGGUGCUCGCACGGCCGGUCGGCUGUGCAGUUAAACGGGAAGCAGGAAGAGUCGUCGCCACGCGACAGGCGACACCCCGGCCUGCGCUGCCCCCGCAACGGUCAGCAGACGAAGCCGCGCACGCGCGGUCUCACUGUGGUUCACGGCCACUGGCUCUCGAGAGCUGGGAAGGCCUCCACAGCUGUUCUGUCAGCCCGGAUACCGGCCAACAGGGGGGCGUGCAC